RNAcentral lists this unclassified non-coding RNA (340 nucleotides) under Hevea brasiliensis (rubber tree). Lineage: Eukaryota; Viridiplantae; Streptophyta; Magnoliopsida; Malpighiales; Euphorbiaceae. The record is from RNAcentral.
CUCUAUUCAGGGAAUUGAAAUGCUUUCUCUUGGUUCUUUUAAGACUGGUGCUAUCCUCCUGGCUGGACUUUUUGUAUAUGAUAUUUUCUGGGUUUUCUUCACUCCUGUUAUGGUUAGUGUUGCAAAAUCAUUUGAUGCUCCUAUAAAGCUAUUGUUUCCAACAACAGAUGCUGCACGGCCAUUUUCCAUGCUUGGGCUUGGUGAUAUUGUAAUCCCUGGUAUUUUUGUAGCUCUGGCAUUGCGAUUUGAUGUGUCUAGAGGAAAAAACAGCCAGUAUUUUAAGAGUGCUUUUCUGGGGUAUACAGUUGGUGUGGUCCUUACAAUUGUUGUCAUGAACUGG